UCGCCGUUUAAAGUGGUACGCGAGCUGGGUUUAGAACGUCGUGAGACAGUUCGGUCCCUAUCUGCCGUGGGCGCUGGAGAAUUGAGGGGGGUUGCUCCUAGUACGAGAGGACCGGAGUGAACGCACCGCUGGUGUUCGGGUUGUCAUGCCAAUGGCACUGCCCGGUAGCUAAGUGCGGAAAAGAUAAGUGCUGAAAGCAUCUAAGCACGAAACUUGCCCCGAGAUGAGUUCUCCCUGACUCCCAGAGAGUCCUGAAGGGACGUUGAAGACGACGACGUUGAUAGGCCGGGUGUGUAAGCGCAGCGAUGCGUUGAGCUAACCGGUACUAAUGACCCGUGAGGCUUAACCUUACAACGCCAGAGGCGUUU
Molecule: ribosomal RNA, 368 nt
Filed under: Pantoea sp. Bo_11
Lineage: Bacteria; Pseudomonadati; Pseudomonadota; Gammaproteobacteria; Enterobacterales; Erwiniaceae
Also listed under: 6 other names
Description: partial 23S ribosomal RNA
Rfam family: Bacterial large subunit ribosomal RNA
Source: RNAcentral